GGGGUUGUAGCUCAGUUGGGAGAGCGUCUGUUUUGCAAGCAGGAGGUCGGGAGUUCGAUCCUCCCUAAUUCCACCA
RNAcentral lists this transfer RNA (76 nucleotides) under Clostridiaceae bacterium. RNAcentral describes it as "tRNA-Ala". It matches the Rfam family "tRNA". From Rfam's summary of the family: Transfer RNA (tRNA) molecules are approximately 80 nucleotides in length. Their secondary structure includes four short double-helical elements and three loops (D, anti-codon, and T loops). The record is from RNAcentral. Lineage: Bacteria; Bacillati; Bacillota; Clostridia; Eubacteriales; Clostridiaceae.